Labrus bergylta (ballan wrasse) is the source of this 680-nucleotide non-coding RNA. The record is from RefSeq and is a predicted model, not a curated record. Lineage: Eukaryota; Metazoa; Chordata; Actinopteri; Labriformes; Labridae.
GGUAGAUGUUUAUACAAAGAACAACUUCCGACUAUCACUAUCAAAAUAAAAGUUUUGCACUUUGACCACAGGGGGGCAGUGUGUACUCACGGUUAUACUUUUAUCAACUCUGUUAAGAAUAACCUCCUCAAGCUAGAAACAAGAACAAGACUAUCGAGGAAGAGGAAUACAUCAUUUCAUACUUUUACCUCAAAUUAAUGGAGGUUGAGGCAUUUUAUCUCCCUCUUGAUCAACAAAGUUUCUGCCGCUAAUUCUAAACAUCUAUGCAAAGCUCACAGGAAAGUUUGUGUCCUCCUGAACAAUUCACCAAAACUAGGAAGCCGUUGUUCAUGCUGAUUAAUUAACUUUACCGAAUUAUAACAAAAGACUUUAAUCUUUUUCUUCUAUCAAACAGUGAAAGUUUGUAAAGGAACAUUAUCACAUCGCCUUACAGCUCCCUCUUGUUAACGCUAGCUGCACUUUAUGAAGCUUUUAGUUAAACUCUGCUGGGCUCGUCAUCAACCGGAACCGGAACACGUAACAUUUUUCAUCACUGGGCGCCAUCUAGUGGACAACCCGAAAGCUACAACAACAUAAGGGGGGGAAACAUGAUGGGAGUAUGACGGCUGCCACACGGCUGAUAUCAAGGUUGACGCUGGUCACUGGAGGAGGCAGUGGGAUCGGACGGGCGGUAUGUCAGC